UCCGAAGGGGGCUAUCGUUGUUCGGAAUUACUGGGCGUAAAGCGCACGUAGGCGGAUUAGUAAGUCAGGGGUGAAAUCCCGGGGCUCAACCUCGGAACUGCCUUUGAUACUGCUGAUCUCGAGUCCGGAAGAGGUGAGUGGAAUUCCUAGUGUAGAGGUGAAAUUCGUAGAUAUUAGGAAGAACACCAGUGGCGAAGGCGGCUCACUGGUCCGGUACUGACGCUGAGGUGCGAAAGCGUGGGGAGAAAACAGG
This 253-nucleotide ribosomal RNA is filed under the name uncultured bacterium. RNAcentral describes it as "partial 16S ribosomal RNA". It matches the Rfam family "Bacterial small subunit ribosomal RNA", at positions 524 to 776 of the family's 1533-position model. The record is from RNAcentral.